GUGAGGAAUAUUGGUCAAUGGGCGGGAGCCUGAACCAGCCAAGUCGCGUGAAGGAAGAAGGAUCUAUGGUUCGUAAACUUCUUUUGCAGGGGAAUAAAGUGCAGGACGUGUCCUGUUUUGUAUGUACCCUGAGAAUAAGGAUCGGCUAACUCCGUGCCAGCAGCCGCGGUAAUACGGAGGAUCCGAGCGUUAUCCGGAUUUAUUGGGUUUAAAGGGUGCGUAGGUGGUUUGAUAAGUCAGCGGUGAAAGUUUGCAGCUUAACUGUAAAAAUGCCGUUGAAACUGUAGGACUUGAGUGUAAAUGAGGUAGGCGGAAUGCGUGGUGUAGCGGUGAAAUGCAUAGAUAUCACGCAGAACUCCGAUUGCGAAGGCAGCUUACUAAGCUACAACUGACACUGAAGCACGAAAGCGUGGGGAUCAAACAGGAUUAGAUACCCGGGUAGUCC
Molecule: ribosomal RNA, 445 nt
Filed under: uncultured bacterium
Lineage: Bacteria
Description: partial 16S ribosomal RNA
Rfam family: Bacterial small subunit ribosomal RNA
Source: RNAcentral